RNAcentral lists this ribosomal RNA (137 nucleotides) under uncultured eukaryote. RNAcentral describes it as "partial 18S ribosomal RNA". It matches the Rfam family "Eukaryotic small subunit ribosomal RNA", at positions 1299 to 1458 of the family's 1831-position model. The record is from RNAcentral.
UGGUGGAGCGAUUUGUCUGGUUAAUUCCGAUAACGAACGAGACUCUAGCCUACUAAAUAGUGCAAGGAUCUUUACGUCCUUGUCACUUCUUAGAGGGACUAUCGGUGCGUAGCCGGUGGAAGUUUGAGGCAAUAACA